CAAAAGUUGGGUUGUGCAACUGAGCUAACGAUCGGAUCUUGGUUCACAGAGGUCCCAUGCAUGUUGCAGUUCAAUGGAUUGCUGGUUCCAGAGUUGAAAUGCAAAUAUCUAAUACUAGAAUUGUGUAUAGAAAACUUUGAUUUGAAUGGAGUAGCUGGACUUUUGGGAGCCUUGCCUCAUGUGGAGACUUUAAACAUAUACCUGACAGAAAAUCUUCUUUAUAAUUACUUUUGCGACUUUGAGGAAAACAAUACUGAUCUGCAGAGUUGGAUUUCAAGCAUUGUGUUUCCCAACCUCAAGA
This is a long non-coding RNA of Solanum stenotomum, 301 nucleotides long. RefSeq lists it as uncharacterized. The transcript is spliced from 3 exons. The record is from RefSeq and is a predicted model, not a curated record. NCBI's taxonomy places the organism in Eukaryota, Viridiplantae, Streptophyta, Magnoliopsida, Solanales, Solanaceae.